GCAGAGCCCGGCUGAGGGGAGCAGGAGGUGAGCGGCUCUUCUGGCUAAAGCUCGGACAGUUAUUAUCCGCUAAAAGCGCCUGAAAUGCAGGUAGCCGUUUACAAACCCCGUCCUCCACCUCACCCGAAGAGUUUGCAAUCUGUAGGGAAAAUAAGGCAGAGAAAAAAUGUUUUCAUCGGCGAGAGUUAAAGACCUUUAAAAGAAUCCACUCACAGUUUUUGUUUUUCUAAUUAAAAACAUCUCUAACGACAAGAAUUCAGAGUCACUGCACUGCACUGCCCAGAAACUUACAUGGGAUUUGAAUGGCGUCAUGGAAGUAGCACUGACCUCGGUCAGCCCAACUCCACUGUUUCCAAGCUAUGCCACAAUACCAGAAAAUCAUUUAUUUAUGUGAUUUCUUCAUCCACAAAAUGAGAAGAUUGGCUGAGAGAAUAUCUAGGAUUCCUGCCAGCUUCACUAAGCUGUUGUGUAUUAGGAGUUGUUUUCAACCAACAGACAACAAAAGAUAUUAUGUGGGAGAAAUAUACUGAUCCUUGCAACGAUGUGAAUGAAUCUCAAAAACAUGCUGUCUGAAGACAAUUCAGCGUGCCAAAACAGACUCUGGGUGAUGUCAGAAACGAUUCUGAAAGCAGGCAUUAAUUAGUUUGCCAAGAUAAUGAGUUCCUGUCCAGUUUGUAGGUGUCAACAUAGUGACUUGGCAAUCAGUGCUCACCACAGGUGAAGGAAGAAGAAAAUUCAGGGGAAAUUUGCAACCUGAAAACAACCUGUGAGCACUCAUGUCUGGCUGAUCCACCAAGCAGACCCUCAGUGGUGCCCUCUGAAGAAAGUUGGGAGGUCCCCCACCUUCCAGAAUUCUUGCUGCCAUCCUACAGGCCCUCCUAGGGGACAAAGGAAUGCUUUUGCACAUGCGAACUACUGUCACCCUAAAUCACACAGAAUCCCAUGUGACCUUCUUUAGUUGUACUUGACAUUGACCUGAAUGAUUCAUCUGCUCCUAGGCAUUAUUUUUAGCCUAUAUUUAAAUGAAGGACAAAUUUUGCUCAGGUGGAUUCAUGGUACUUUGUUUCCUUAGGAAUUUUUCUCAGGCUGAACAACAAUUCAUAUGUCAAAAUCCUAAUGACCUAUGUGGCUGUACUUGGAAUUUGGAAGAAGUUACGAUGAAAUGAAGUCAUGAGAGGAAGGCCUUGUGAGGACAGUUAGAAGAUAAUCAUCUACAAGUCAGGAAGAGAAUCCAAAAACUGAACCAGCCAGACACUUGAUUUCUCUCCACUUUCCAAA
Mustela erminea (ermine) is the source of this 1278-nucleotide long non-coding RNA. RefSeq lists it as uncharacterized. The transcript has 9 exons. Lineage: Eukaryota; Metazoa; Chordata; Mammalia; Carnivora; Mustelidae. The record is from RefSeq and is a predicted model, not a curated record.